AAACUUGGCUUAAAGUACUUAAACUAUCCCAAAGCAAGGCUUAUCCAUUGCACCCCAGAUGUGCUGACCUCUGUAAUUUCCCAAAAUGUGGGAAACUUGACUGCAUAAUUUGUGGAGGAUUUCAC
Molecule: small nuclear RNA, 125 nt
Filed under: Jaculus jaculus (lesser Egyptian jerboa)
Lineage: Eukaryota; Metazoa; Chordata; Mammalia; Rodentia; Dipodidae
Description: U1 spliceosomal RNA (ENSJJAG00000002650.1)
Source: RNAcentral